UACGUAGGGUGCGAGCGUUGUCCGGAAUUACUGGGCGUAAAGAGCUCGUAGGUGGUUUGUCGCGUUGUUCGUGAAAACCGGGGGCUUAACCCUCGGCGUGCGGGCGAUACGGGCAGACUGGAGUACUGCAGGGGAGACUGGAAUUCCUGGUGUAGCGGUGGAAUGCGCAGAUAUCAGGAGGAACACCGGUGGCGAAGGCGGCACUCUGGGCCGGUACUGACGCUGAGGAGCGAAAGCGUGGGGAGCGAACAGG
RNAcentral lists this ribosomal RNA (253 nucleotides) under uncultured bacterium. RNAcentral describes it as "partial 16S ribosomal RNA". It matches the Rfam family "Bacterial small subunit ribosomal RNA", at positions 524 to 776 of the family's 1533-position model. The record is from RNAcentral.